GCCUUCAUGGUAUAAUGGCUAGCACACUCGGCGUAUAUUCGAGAGAUCCAGGUUCAAGUCCCGGUGAGGGUA
Molecule: transfer RNA, 72 nt
Filed under: Stegodyphus mimosarum
Lineage: Eukaryota; Metazoa; Arthropoda; Arachnida; Araneae; Eresidae
Rfam family: tRNA
About the family: Transfer RNA (tRNA) molecules are approximately 80 nucleotides in length. Their secondary structure includes four short double-helical elements and three loops (D, anti-codon, and T loops).
Source: Rfam by way of RNAcentral